This 427-nucleotide ribosomal RNA is filed under the name uncultured bacterium. Its description in RNAcentral is "partial 16S ribosomal RNA". It matches the Rfam family "Bacterial small subunit ribosomal RNA", at positions 354 to 796 of the family's 1533-position model. The record is from RNAcentral.
GUGGGGAAUAUUGCGCAAUGGGCGAAAGCCUGACCCAGCGACGCCGCGUGAGGGAAGACGGCCUUCGGGUUGUAAACCUCUUUUGUACGGGAAGAAGGAAGUGACGGUACUGUACGAAUAAGUCCCGGCUAACUACGUGCCAGCAGCCGCGGUAAUACGUAGGGGACGAGCGGUGUCCGGAAUUACUGGGCGUAAAGGGCGCGCAGGCCGUGGUGCAAGUCAGCUGUGAAAUGUCUGGGCUUAACCCGGGCAUUCGGGUAAGACUGCAGUGCUGGAGUGCUGUAGAGGACAGUGGAAUUCCCAUUGUAGCGGUAAAAUGCGUAGAUAUUGGGAAGAACACCGGUGACGAAGGCGACUUGCUGGGCAGCAACUGACGCUGAGGCGCGAAAGCCAGGGGAGCAAACGGGAUUAGAUACCCCAGUAGUCC